CAGAGACAUAAGUGGAGGGAGAGCUACUGGGCAUGGAUCCACAGAAGAGGAAGCAGAAUCUCACAUCAUAACCCCAAAUGACCUGUUACUCACCACGUGACCCAGCUGCCUUCAAACUCACCAGGCUCCUGCCUUAGCCUUCUAAAUGCUUGGAUUAUAGGCAUGACCCACUAUAAACUGGCUUUGUUUUAGUUUCAGAGAAGAUGAAACUGAUGUUCGUCAAAAAGGGGGUUAGAGUUAAAAGAUUGCCUUGAAUAUCACAAGAAAAUUUGGACUUUGAGCCUGUACUGAGAUCAUGGAAAACUGGGGAAUUUUAACAUUUGAUAAGUGAAUUUUGCAUUACGUCUGCUUCCAACUAGGACAAGACAUGAGUUCUCAACUCCUGCCACAGCUCUAUGCCUCAGCGCCUUGUUGUCCUGUUGAUGGUCAUAGACUCUAAACCUCUGGAACCAUGAACCCCAAUAAACUUGU
Mus caroli (Ryukyu mouse) is the source of this 471-nucleotide long non-coding RNA. RefSeq lists it as uncharacterized. The record is from RefSeq and is a predicted model, not a curated record. Lineage: Eukaryota; Metazoa; Chordata; Mammalia; Rodentia; Muridae.